RNAcentral lists this ribosomal RNA (401 nucleotides) under Salmonella enterica. Its description in RNAcentral is "partial 23S ribosomal RNA". It matches the Rfam family "Bacterial large subunit ribosomal RNA", at positions 791 to 1190 of the family's 2925-position model. Lineage: Bacteria; Pseudomonadati; Pseudomonadota; Gammaproteobacteria; Enterobacterales; Enterobacteriaceae. RNAcentral also lists the same sequence under 2 other names. The record is from RNAcentral.
GAAAAAUUAGCGGAUGACCUGUGGCUGGGGGUGAAAGGCCAAUCAAACCGGGAGAUAGCUGGUUCUCCCCGAAAGCUAUUUAGGUAGCGCCUCGUGAAUUCAUCUCCGGGGGUAGAGCACUGUUUCGGCUAGGGGGCCAUCCCGGCUUACCAACCCGAUGCAAACUGCGAAUACCGGAGAAUGUUAUCACGGGAGACACACGGCGGGUGCUAACGUCCGUCGUGAAGAGGGAAACAACCCAGACCGCCAGCUAAGGUCCCAAAGUCAUGGUUAAGUGGGAAACGAUGUGGGAAGGCCCAGACAGCCAGGAUGUUGGCUUAGAAGCAGCCAUCAUUUAAAGAAAGCGUAAUAGCUCACUGGUCGAGUCGGCCUGCGCGGAAGAUGUAACGGGGCUAAACCAU